Molecule: long non-coding RNA, 609 nt
Organism: Agrilus planipennis (emerald ash borer)
Lineage: Eukaryota; Metazoa; Arthropoda; Insecta; Coleoptera; Buprestidae
Exons: 4
Source: RefSeq, a predicted model, not a curated record
UGCUAUUGAAAAAACAACCUGUUAUUCAAAAUUGUUUUCUGGCUGUAACUUUUGUCCCUCGACGAUCUUCUAGUUAAUUAAGGAACAUUUUAAAAACUGUGGAUACCAACACCUGAUUAUGGAUCAUUGAUUGUAUCAGUCCUCUUUCACUUCAAAAAAAGCAGUAUUUAAAUAUUUACGUGAAAGGACGGUUUUUCCAUUGGGAAGAGAGACAGUGUGUUGUGGCUAAAGAUCGUAUAACGAAUGAGAGGAUAUUGCAAUUAAUUUUGGUGCUACUGAAACAACUGAUGCUUUUGACGUCUUCACCUUGCAAAAUUAUGCAGUUAAUUUUGGACCUGAGAGGGGAGGUUCCCCAAGAAAAACGAGCGUUAGGUUGUCCGAAGAAUUAGAUGGAAUUGCAAUUAACUGUGAUGUUUUUGGACUUGAAAAAGGAAACCAACUGCAAAUCAAUUUGGACGCCACUGAAACAACAAAUUGUCUGCAGUGAUAUCCCUUUUGGAUUUGGUUUGCUCAUCACACUUGUGGACUUUAGAACGCUACUUUCUACAGUUAAUUAAGGUGAGAAUGUAUGACAUUAUUAAUAUUAAUUUUUGGUUAUUAAUAUGUUGC